AUAUUGCAUAAAAGGAAAGAAAGUUAGUAGUCCCCUUGGUAAGGAUGGAGAGUUCCUAGUGGACUUUACAAUACAUAUACAAUCUAUUGCCACCUACCUUGGGGCAUCCAAUCAUUUUUUUUG
This is a small nuclear RNA of Trichosurus vulpecula (common brushtail), 123 nucleotides long. The record is from RefSeq and is a predicted model, not a curated record. NCBI's taxonomy places the organism in Eukaryota, Metazoa, Chordata, Mammalia, Diprotodontia, Phalangeridae.